This 73-nucleotide transfer RNA is filed under the name Phasianella australis. RNAcentral describes it as "tRNA-Asn". The record is from RNAcentral. Lineage: Eukaryota; Metazoa; Mollusca; Gastropoda; Trochida; Phasianellidae.
UAACCAGAAGCUAAUAUUAGCAUCUAGCUGUUAACUAGGAGGUUGUAAGUUUAUUUAGAUCUUACCUGGUUAG